AACGAACGCUGGCGGCAUGCCUAACACAUGCAAGUCGAACGAGACCUUCGGGUCUAGUGGCGCACGGGUGCGUAACGCGUGGGAACCUGCCCUUAGGUUCGGAAUAACUCCCCGAAAGGGGUGCUAAUACCGGAUAAUGUCUUCGGACCAAAGAUUUAUCGCCUUUGGAUGGGCCGGCGUUGGAUUAGAUAGUUGGUAGGGUAAAAGCCUACCAAGGCGACGAUCCAUAGCUGGUCUGAGAGGAUGAUCAGCCACACUGGGACUGAGACACGGCCCAGACUCCUACGGGAGGCAGCAGUGGGGAAUAUUGGACAAUGGGCGAAAGCCUGAUCCAGCAAUGCCGCGUGAGUGAUGAAGGCCUUAGGGUUGUAAAGCUCUUUUACCCGGGAUGAUAAUGACAGUACCGGGAGAAUAAGCUCCGGCUAACUCCGUG
RNAcentral lists this ribosomal RNA (433 nucleotides) under uncultured bacterium. Its description in RNAcentral is "partial 16S ribosomal RNA". It matches the Rfam family "Bacterial small subunit ribosomal RNA", at positions 29 to 507 of the family's 1533-position model. The record is from RNAcentral.